GGGAUAUCUCGCCCAGCCCAGCAUUCUUUCUAAGUGGAUCAGAAUACCAGAGCCAGAAAUCUGUAUUUCCUGAAAUCCUUCUAUGUGAGUAUCUUUUCUAUUGGUCUUUGCCAAGAUCACAGAUGUUCUUCAUUCAUUAGCGUAAAGUGUCCAAGGUGGACCCAUCCUGAACAAGGCACAGGGGAAGUUUCAUCUCUUCAGAGGCCUUUCUUCACCAUUUGGCAUAUUUACCAGAUACUCACCAAACUGCAGCCUAUGGAGUCUACCACACAGACAUGUGAGAAAGCUGCCAGCAGAUGUGAUCCACUGACACAAGGGGCUAAAUCAAGAAACAGAAGAGGAGCCACAGUAUGAGAGAGGCAGUGCAGUCCUAUGACGGCAACUAUCCCUCAACCCCAGAAAACAAGGAGACAGAAAGAACAGAUUCUUGUCCCAGACAAGCAGUGACCAAGUUCACAUGUUACUUCUGUCUUCAUUGGUGGGGGCCCAGCCUGCAGCUGCUGAAUCAGAAGGAGCAACUAGAAAGA
This is a long non-coding RNA of Mesocricetus auratus (golden hamster), 527 nucleotides long. RefSeq lists it as uncharacterized. The transcript has 6 exons. NCBI's taxonomy places the organism in Eukaryota, Metazoa, Chordata, Mammalia, Rodentia, Cricetidae. The record is from RefSeq and is a predicted model, not a curated record.